RNAcentral lists this transfer RNA (77 nucleotides) under Thermomicrobium roseum DSM 5159. RNAcentral describes it as "tRNA-Cys (GCA) (tRNA-Cys-GCA-1-1)". It matches the Rfam family "tRNA". Rfam says of the family: Transfer RNA (tRNA) molecules are approximately 80 nucleotides in length. Their secondary structure includes four short double-helical elements and three loops (D, anti-codon, and T loops). RNAcentral also lists the same sequence under 1 other name. The record is from RNAcentral. Lineage: Bacteria; Pseudomonadati; Thermomicrobiota; Thermomicrobia; Thermomicrobiales; Thermomicrobiaceae.
GGCGGCGUAGCCAAGUGGUCUAAGGCAGCAGUCUGCAAAACUGCGAUUCGGCGGUUCGAAUCCGCCCGCCGCCUCCA